GUUCUCAUCCCGCAUUUGUUUCUCAUACUUCCGACUUUGAGACUGAAGCAGAUGAAGUUUCAAUUCAAUCAACUUGCAUCGCUGCCUAAUAGGUUGAAUAAAGUCUCUCCAAUGAGGUGUCACCUUUUUCCUCGUCAUCCUAAAUAUGUCACCAAAUCCACUAAAUGCCAGUUCUGAUGUAGCAUCACCGCUGUAUUCUGAUGUACACUCGAUAUCAUUCAUAGUUGUGCAAUACUCUGAUUCAGAAAAAAUACUCCCAAAAGAACUUGAACUUUCUGUCAACUCCUCUUUAUCUGAUUGCACCAGCACAUUAUCAGCAGGA
Molecule: unclassified non-coding RNA, 322 nt
Filed under: Hevea brasiliensis (rubber tree)
Lineage: Eukaryota; Viridiplantae; Streptophyta; Magnoliopsida; Malpighiales; Euphorbiaceae
Source: RNAcentral